This 459-nucleotide ribosomal RNA is filed under the name uncultured bacterium. RNAcentral's name for it is "partial 16S ribosomal RNA". It matches the Rfam family "Bacterial small subunit ribosomal RNA", at positions 338 to 795 of the family's 1533-position model. The record is from RNAcentral.
CCUACGGUAGGCAGCAGUGAGGAAUAUUGGUCAAUGGCCGGAAGGCUGAACCAGCCAUGCCGCGUGAAGGUCAGUGCCCUAUGGGCGGUAAACUUCUUUUGUGCGGGAGCAAUAAUGGUCACGUGUGGCCAGACGAGAGUACCGUACGAAUAAGCAUCGGCUAACUCCGUGCCAGCAGCCGCGGUAAUACGGAGGAUCCGAGCGUUAUCCGGAUUUAUGGGGGUUAAAGGGAGCGUAGGUGUAUUGUUAAGUCAGUUGUGAAAGUUUGCGGCGCAACCGUAAAAUUGCAGUUGAGACUGGCAGGCUUGAGUACAGUAGAGGUGGGCGGAAUUCGUGGUGUAGCGGUGAAAUGCUUAGAUAUCACGAAGAACACCGAUUGCGAAGGCAGCUAACUGGACUGCAAAUGACACUGAGGCUCGAAAGUGUGGGUAUCAAACAGGAUUAGAUACCCGUGUAGUC